This 473-nucleotide ribosomal RNA is filed under the name Laomedia healyi. RNAcentral describes it as "partial 16S ribosomal RNA". It matches the Rfam family "Bacterial large subunit ribosomal RNA", at positions 1858 to 2589 of the family's 2925-position model. The record is from RNAcentral. Lineage: Eukaryota; Metazoa; Arthropoda; Malacostraca; Decapoda; Laomediidae.
CCUGCCCACUGAUUGUUUAAAGGGCCGCGGUAUACUAACCGUGCGAAGGUAGCAUAAUCAUUAGUCUUUUAAUAGGAGUCUGGUAUGAAUGGUUGUACGAGAAUUUAACUGUCUUUAUUAUAAAAAUUGAAAUUAACUUUUAAGUUAGAAGGCUUAAAUGAAUUAGGGGGACGAUAAGACCCUAUAAAGCUUUAUAUUAUUAGCUAUGUUAGAAGAUAAAGACAAUUAAAUUUUAAAAUAGCUGGAGUAUUGUGCUGGGGCGGCAAAGAUAUGUUGAGUAACUGUUUAUAAACGUAACACUUAUUUGUGAAAUUUAAUUGAUCCUUGUUGAAGAUUAGAAGGUAAAGUUACUUUAGGGAUAACAGCGUAAUCUUUCUUGAGAGUUCAAAUCGAGAGAAGGGGUUGCGACCUCGAUGUUGAAUUAAAAUUCCUUUUUAGUGCAGAAGUUAAAAAAGGAGGUCUGUUCGACCUUU